This is a long non-coding RNA of Oxyura jamaicensis (ruddy duck), 2334 nucleotides long. RefSeq lists it as uncharacterized. NCBI's taxonomy places the organism in Eukaryota, Metazoa, Chordata, Aves, Anseriformes, Anatidae. The record is from RefSeq and is a predicted model, not a curated record. The transcript is spliced from 3 exons.
UGCUGUGUUUAGAGAAGACUCCUUAAAUACUUUGCUUUAUUAAUUUCAUUUCCUAGUGCAGGCAUCUCAUUGCUGCUCUGUGUCUGAGACUUUUAUGCCUUUAGUCUGGAAACAACUGUUGCUACGGGACAUCCAUAAUGCCGAGUGCAGCAGUGAUUUGUGCCAGAGCUGCUGAGUGAUUUCAAAUGCGUCCAUGAGGGCAGGACCAACAGGCAUCUCCUCUCGACAGUUGUAAUGAUGGGAAUCUGCCUGCAGGCCCCUGUAAUGCAUUUCUUCUACACUGAGCAUAUCUCAGCAUAGUUGGGUACUUGGCUACUCUGAGCUUCCUUUCUGAAAAUGAAGCCAAUACCACCAGGUAGCAUUGACCUGUGGCACAGUCAGGCUGAAUUUUCCAGCUGGGAGACAUCAGGGCACAUCUAAACUGAGCAACCGAGCAUGGUUUACAUGCCCCUGAGCUGGGCAAUCCAGGCAGAUAAUGCUGGGCUGGAGUGCAACCCAGGGCAGUGGAAGGAUGCCGAGUUUGGGCGCGCAGAAACUGCUACUUCAUUUCCCCAGUGGUUUGCCUCUGUGUUAGCUGUGGCUUUUCUUGUUGAGGAGUUAUAUUGUGUGGAACCACCUCCGCAUCCCUCCAGCAAUGAUGUAGAAAUGUCUUGAAGAUGGUUUGGCAGGCAAAUCCUUCUUUCCUCUUGCUGGGAACCCCACAGGUCUAUUGCAAAGAAAGUUGGUUGGCGGAACUCUCAGCCACCACAACACACGCUCCAGAUAGACAAACCACGUCUGUGUCUAUCCACAGCUCUUUCCACAACUCCUGGAUUCCACUUUUGAAAAAAAUAACAGUUUGGUUCUUCAGUGACAGAGCAGUAUGGUAAAAGUAAUGACCACAUUGCAACAGGCUUCUUCAUCUGCUUAUCUUCAAAGCCGAGUUUUGCUCCAAAGUAUCCAGUGCCGUGGCAUGGAAUAAAGUCUGCUUGGGAAAACUGGGCAAUUGUUGGCUGAAGAAAAGAAAAAUAUCUUUCAGAUAUUUUCUAAUCCAAAAAACAUGGUUCUUAAAUGAGCUUUUUCCAAGCACAUUAGUGCUACAGCCAUUAAUAAUCACAGAAUUCAAAGAAAAAUAAAAUCAGCUGGAAAAGAGUUGAAAGGGAAACCUAUUAAAAUAUAAAAAGCAAUUUCCCAAAAAUAUAUACAGUUUCAUUUCCAAUUUUUUGUUGUUUUUUUGCUGUUACUAAAACUUUCAGUGACCUAAUAGUCCUUUUAAAAGACAGCUGCACAGAAUAAAACUGGGGCAUUUUGUUCUUCUUGCAUUGUUCCUAACAGCGGGACCCAUUCUUCAUUCUCCUGAUUGAAUGUUUCCCAGAGUGUCUAGACAUGUCGCCACCACUGCCGAGGAGCCGAGAGAUACCAGGGCUCAUCCGAGGAGCUGUAAGCACCAGUCAUCUCUCCUUCUACCCCUCAGGAGUCCUAAAAAUAAGCUUUUAUUUGCCUUCUGUGUUGCUAAUUUCUAGGUUACGCUUGGGUCAUACUUUCCACCCCCUCAUUCAGCAGUGGGAAGCUGAGAUUCCCACAGAAGAACAUUGUUUUUUGAGCAGGGUGUUAGAUAGCAGCAUGAAAUACUCCCCAAACCUGGUGACUACAUAGCAGAACUGUGCAGCACGGAUGAGCUUGUACCUCUGCAAGACCCAACUGCUCCCUUUCACUUCAGCUUGUGAGCCUAAGCCAGGUCUGGGACAGCUUUAUCUGCCUUCCAGUAAGCCCCCUGGUGUACAUAUCCAGAUCAAUGCUCCAGAACUUUUCAGCAUUUACCUGACUGAGAUAUUUCACUCCAGUUUCUACAUUUUCACAGGUCAGACAGGUUGCUGAGCAAAACCAGAGUCAGGUCAUUCCAGACCAGAAGCAGAAAGUCAUCAGCAUUAGCUCGGAGCACCCUCCCUUUUCUCCUUGCUGUCUCCCAGAACGUCAGAGCUGAAAAUGUGCUCAAGUAGACAGGCUCUGAAUCUCCAGCCUUUGUGGCACGCCUUUGGCACCUCAUGCCAGAGGAGGACUUUGUUCUCCUCCCACCUCACUACACGUGGUAGCAGCCUCUCCUUGGUGGUGAGAGAAGUGCUGUGGCAAUUCUCAGCUUUGGGCUGUGUCCGUUCAGGAUGAACCAAUGGUCCGGUUCAUCCCCGCAUGCCAAACGAGUGUUAGUGUAGCCAGCGCAAAGCUCAUAGCUCAUCUCCAGUCACACCCUUGGAUCCCAGCAAUUCUAUGUACGAGGGGCAGGAACUGUCUUGCCGACAAUUCAGAAAGGACUUUAGACAAUAGGAGCACUACCCAAAUAAUGAAUAGCAGUGCUAA